AAAUCAUGUUUUUCCCGCCCAAAC
This 24-nucleotide non-coding RNA is filed under the name Arabidopsis thaliana (thale cress). The record is from RNAcentral. Lineage: Eukaryota; Viridiplantae; Streptophyta; Magnoliopsida; Brassicales; Brassicaceae.